UUUUGAGAGUUUGAUCCUGGCUCAGGAUGAACGCUGGCGGCGUGGAUAAGGCAUGCAAGUCGAAUGUGUGUCUCACUUUGUUCGACACAAUCACAUUAACAUCUAAACAUGUUAACAUAUUAGCAAAAAUUCAAAUUAUUCAAAUGUUAAAAUGCUAAAAUGUUUUAAUGAUGUGGCGAGUGAAGCGAGACAUACAUGGCAAACGGGUUAGUAAUGCAUAGGAACGUGCCUCUAAGUCACGAAUAAUCCUUCGAAAGAAGGGAUAAUACGUGAUAAGCUUUACGAAGUAAAGCUGUAAGUAGCACUUGGAAUUUUAAAGGCUAAAUUUUAAAUUCUAAAUGAAAUCUAAAUUAUUAAAUUUUAAAAAUUUAUUAAUUAAUUCAUUGGAAAUUGAUUUAAAAUUUAUAACUUAAAAUUUAGAAUUUCAAGCGCUGUUUACAGCGCUUAGAGAGCGGCCUGUGUCCUAUCAGCUAGUUGGUAGUGUAAUGGACUACCAAGGCUAUGACGGGUAGGGGGUGUGAGAGCACGAUCCCCAACAUUGGGACUGAGACACUGCCCAAACUCCUACGGGAG
This 573-nucleotide ribosomal RNA is filed under the name Candidatus Moranbacteria bacterium CG_4_9_14_3_um_filter_40_7. RNAcentral's name for it is "bacterial SSU rRNA". It matches the Rfam family "Bacterial small subunit ribosomal RNA", at positions 1 to 347 of the family's 1533-position model. The record is from RNAcentral. Lineage: Bacteria; Candidatus Moraniibacteriota.